GGAAAAAGGUUCAUCCAAGAAGCAUGGAAAAGGUAAGGACAUUGCUGUCUUAAGAGCAUCUAGGGCUGAGAAAAUUGCUCUCAGACCUAUGAGCAGAACCAAGUAUUUCAACCUUGAAAGUCUGGAAACCAAGGCAUGGAAUAUGAAGGAGUUCACUGAACCUCAAGGAUGGACCAACUUCAUAACUCUUCAAGAACACACCUAUGAAGACUUGGUCAGAGAGUUCUACUCCAACCUAUCAGUUCAGGAAAAGAAGAAUGGAAAUGAGAAGUUUCUCAUCUCAUCAGUCAAAGGUGUAAAGAUCAAGAUGACU
Molecule: long non-coding RNA, 313 nt
Filed under: Medicago truncatula (barrel medic)
Lineage: Eukaryota; Viridiplantae; Streptophyta; Magnoliopsida; Fabales; Fabaceae
Description: lncRNA gene13091
Source: RNAcentral